GACGAGCGCUGGCGGCGUGCCUAAUACAUGCAAGUAGAACGCACAGUUUAUACCGUAGCUUGCUACACCAUAGACUGUGAGUUGCGAACGGGUGAGUAACGCGUAGGUAACCUGCCUGGUAGCGGGGGAUAACUAUUGGAAACGAUAGCUAAUACCGCAUAAUAUUGAUUAUUGCAUGAUAAUUGAUUGAAAGAUGCUAUUGCAUCACUACCAGAUGGACCUGCGUUGUAUUAGCUAGUAGGUGAGGUAACGGCUCACCUAGGCGACGAUACAUAGCCGACCUGAGAGGGUGAUCGGCCACACUGGGACUGAGACACGGCCCAGACUCCUACGGGAGGCAGCAGUAGGGAAUCUUCGGCAAUGGACGAAAGUCUGACCGAGCAACGCCGCGUGAGUGAAGAAGGUUUUCGGAUCGUAAAGCUCUGUUGUAAGAGAAGAACGGGUGUGAGAGUGGAAAGUUCACACUGUGACGGCAUCUUACCAGAAAGGGACGGCUAACUACGUG
Molecule: ribosomal RNA, 505 nt
Filed under: uncultured bacterium
Lineage: Bacteria
Description: partial 16S ribosomal RNA
Rfam family: Bacterial small subunit ribosomal RNA
Source: RNAcentral